GGAUUAGAUACCCUGGUAGUCCACGCUGUAAACGAUGGUCACUAGCUGUUUGUCUUUCGGGAUGAGUGGCUAAGCGAAAGUGAUAAGUGACCCACCUGGGGAGUACGUUCGCAAGAAUGAAACUCAAAGGAAUUGACGGGGGCCCGCACAAGCGGUGGAGCAUGUGGUUUAAUUCGAUGAUACGCGAGGAACCUUACCAAGGCUUAAAUGCAUUUUGACGUACCUAGAGAUAGGUAUUUCUUCGGACAAAUUGCAAGGUGCUGCAUGGUUGUCGUCAGCUCGUGCCG
This 287-nucleotide ribosomal RNA is filed under the name uncultured bacterium. Its description in RNAcentral is "partial 16S ribosomal RNA". It matches the Rfam family "Bacterial small subunit ribosomal RNA", at positions 775 to 1067 of the family's 1533-position model. The record is from RNAcentral.